RNAcentral lists this transfer RNA (65 nucleotides) under Echinostoma caproni. It matches the Rfam family "tRNA". From Rfam's summary of the family: Transfer RNA (tRNA) molecules are approximately 80 nucleotides in length. Their secondary structure includes four short double-helical elements and three loops (D, anti-codon, and T loops). The record is from Rfam by way of RNAcentral. Lineage: Eukaryota; Metazoa; Platyhelminthes; Trematoda; Plagiorchiida; Echinostomatidae.
GGCCUCGUAGCUCAGCUGGUAGAGCGUGCGUAUAAAAAGCGUGGGUUAGAGUCCAACCGAGGCUA